RNAcentral lists this transfer RNA (58 nucleotides) under Dipodomys ordii (Ord's kangaroo rat). It matches the Rfam family "tRNA", at positions 8 to 63 of the family's 71-position model. Rfam says of the family: Transfer RNA (tRNA) molecules are approximately 80 nucleotides in length. The record is from Rfam by way of RNAcentral. Lineage: Eukaryota; Metazoa; Chordata; Mammalia; Rodentia; Heteromyidae.
UGGCUCAGUGGUAGAGUGCUUGCCUCACAUGCAUGAGGCCCUGAGUUCAAUUCCUCAG